RNAcentral lists this long non-coding RNA (203 nucleotides) under Physcomitrium patens. RNAcentral describes it as "long non-coding RNA (PPAT_LNC014460)". Lineage: Eukaryota; Viridiplantae; Streptophyta; Bryopsida; Funariales; Funariaceae. The record is from RNAcentral.
AUUACCUUAAUCUUAGACUGUGAACUUCGGCAAGCUGUGAUCCUCAAUCUAUCCUCUCGACUUGUUGUGAAACAUCUAUAGCUAGUGUCUCUGCAAGCCCUUUCAAAUGCUCAAGAACUUCUAGUUUAACCCCGCUUACAAAUUAUGAGGCUAUGCUGCAAUCCGGACCGAUGUCUCUUGGACGCUCGCCGAUAUUCCUCUUA